This 323-nucleotide ribosomal RNA is filed under the name uncultured alga. RNAcentral describes it as "bacterial LSU rRNA". It matches the Rfam family "Bacterial large subunit ribosomal RNA", at positions 2098 to 2423 of the family's 2925-position model. The record is from RNAcentral.
GCUUUACUGUAACCUGGAAUUGGGUUCGGGCCCUUUUUGCGCAGACUAAGUGGGAGGCGUAGAAAAUUUUCUUUCGGAAAAUUGGAGCCAUUAUUGAGAGACCACUCUGGAAGACUAGAAUCCUAAUAGUGAUCCUUGUAUCAGGAUAAUUGACAGUUUCAGGUAGGCAGUUUCUCUGGGGGCGGAGGCCUCCUAAAAGGUAACGGAGGCGCGCAAAGGUUCCUCAGGCUGGACGGAAUCAGCCGAAGAAUGUAAAGGUAUAAGGGAGCUUGACUGCAAGACCUACAAGUCGAGCAGGGGCGAAGCCGGCCUUAGUGAUCCGA